RNAcentral lists this unclassified non-coding RNA (202 nucleotides) under soil metagenome. Its description in RNAcentral is "partial contains 5.8S ribosomal RNA, internal transcribed spacer 2, and large subunit ribosomal RNA". The record is from RNAcentral.
AACCUUAUGGACCUGCGGGCGUAUACCUGCGGAGGGAUCAUUAUCAAAACAGCGGCCUUCGGGCCUUGCUGCACCCUUGUCUUUUGCGCACCGUAUUGUUUCCUCGGCGGGCUUGCCUGCCGGUUGGACAUUAUCAAACCUUUUUGUAGUUGCAAUCAGCGUCAGAAAAACAAUAAUUAUUACAACUUUUAACAAUGGAUCU